GCGGGUGUAGCUCAGUGGUAGAGCGUCUGCUUCCCAAGCAGAAUGUCGAGAGUUCAAUCCUCUUCGCCCGCUCCA
RNAcentral lists this transfer RNA (75 nucleotides) under Hyphomicrobiaceae bacterium. RNAcentral describes it as "tRNA-Gly". It matches the Rfam family "tRNA". Rfam says of the family: Transfer RNA (tRNA) molecules are approximately 80 nucleotides in length. Their secondary structure includes four short double-helical elements and three loops (D, anti-codon, and T loops). The record is from RNAcentral. Lineage: Bacteria; Pseudomonadati; Pseudomonadota; Alphaproteobacteria; Hyphomicrobiales; Hyphomicrobiaceae.